This 253-nucleotide ribosomal RNA is filed under the name uncultured bacterium. RNAcentral's name for it is "partial 16S ribosomal RNA". It matches the Rfam family "Bacterial small subunit ribosomal RNA", at positions 524 to 776 of the family's 1533-position model. The record is from RNAcentral.
UACAGAGGGGGCAAGCGUUAUUCGGAAUUAUUGGGCGUAAAGGGCGCGUAGGCGGCCUGGCAAGUGGAAGGUGAAAUCCCUCGGCUCAACCGGGGAACUGCGUCCGAUACUGGUGGGCUUGAGUGCAGGAGAGGAACGCGGAAUUCCAGGUGUAGCGGUGAAAUGCGUAGAUAUCUGGAGGAACACCGGUGGCGAAGGCGGCGUUCUGGACUGCAACUGACACUGAGGAACGAAAGCCAGGGGAGCAAACGGG